This is a long non-coding RNA of Equus caballus (horse), 1524 nucleotides long. RefSeq lists it as uncharacterized. NCBI's taxonomy places the organism in Eukaryota, Metazoa, Chordata, Mammalia, Perissodactyla, Equidae. The record is from RefSeq and is a predicted model, not a curated record.
UACAGAGGACUGGAAUGAAAAUGAGGCUGCAAAGGAAACGGAAUGAAAAAUAGGUUUGUUUUGGUCACCCAGAAGCAAAACCUAUCGUGCACAUUGACACAAACACACCUAAAACCUAGCAGCCACCUCAUACCAUUUCCUGACACCAAAAUAAAAUAAAGAUGGAACUUCAGGGGAAGAAGACAAAGAGAAGGAGUGGAAAUGAAGCUGCCAAGGGAAACAGAACUGAUUUUGCAAAGAAGUAUUUCUGUGCUGAAAGUACAAGACAGAGCAUAGCAUACAGGGAGAAUUCCAAGCACUGCAAAAGAUGUGGAAACUAAUGUCCAGGGUAAUACAAAACUUACUCAAGGUCACAUAGCAAGUAAGUAGCAGAACUAAGAUUUAAAUGCUGACUCUGUUGACUUGCUCUGCAUUUCCAAGCAAAGUUUCUAAUUCCAGAAUAUCUUGCAAAUAUUUUCUUUUCUUCUGUCCUUAAGUUCUCCUCCCUUACUCUCUCCCUCCCUCCCUCACUCUCGCUCUCUCUGUCUCUUUCUUCUCUCCCUUCUCCCCUUCCUCAUCUAAGACAUUGUCCCAUGCUGGUGAGAUCAAAGAAAGAGUUUAUAUUGUGGAAUUAAUAAAGGCUCUGUCAGAUAAACUGGGUUUUCUGUGGGCUGUCAAGAGGAAAUAGUCUAAGUGGAGGAAAAAUGAAGAGUGGAGCACAGAGAUAAAUGUGAAUGUAGGGCGUAUAGGAAGAGAGAACAAUCCAAUUUGACCUGGAUGUAAAACUGAUUAGGGUUUGUGGGGAAGAUGGGGACAUUUUAAAACCAUCCCAUCACUAACUUUGGCCUGGAGCCUUGAUGUGCACAAAGGCUUUGGUUAUAUCCUUAUUCCUGCUGCUCUUGGAAGUAAGAACAAUGAAGUGGAGUGGAACGUUCGUUUGAUAAAUGACAUCCUUGUGAGAAAAACAAACCAAUAAAAAAGUUUGCUUUACAGGAGAUUCUGCACACUUCCCUCCAAGUAAGUUCAAACAUCAUGAACCUCACCAGCCUAUCAUUUAUAGUCAGGGUAUGGCUCUCCAAGGAGGUGGGGUGUGAAAGGGGAAGUGUGUUGUAGUGGUGACACAAAUAUGUUUAAAAGAGUGGCAACAAUUUUCAUCAGCUGCUGUGUAUGUGUGCAAGUUUUGGAGAAUGGACACAAUGACUAAAGAAAAUGUCUAGAGAUCUUCCAAGGGCUAUAUAUAUAAAACUUGCGUACUUCUUUUCAAGGAAAAAGAAAAAAAAAAAUCACAAUUCAUAUUGCUAUUGAUUGCCAAUCAAUUGAUUAUCAAUCAAUUCAAUCAAUGGGACAUGUGAAGUCCCAUAUUUGAUUUCUUUAAAUAUGAAUUUGUUAAUAGCCUGAGCCAUAUGGAGUCUGAAAAUUAUCAGAGUUACUUAAAUAUCUGCAGGUUUUUAUCCCCUCUUCCUUUCUUUCUUCCUUCCAUCCUUUCCUUUUGUUAUUUAAAGGAUAUAAUCUUGAUAGUGUCUCUAGGAAUGAGAGGAGGAAGAU